UACGUAGGGUGCGAGCGUUGUCCGGAUUUAUUGGGCGUAAAGAGCUCGUAGGCGGUUUGUCGCGUCUGCUGUGAAAUCCCGAGGCUCAACCUCGGGCCUGCAGUGGGUACGGGCAGACUAGAGUGCGGUAGGGGGAGACUGGAAUUCCUGGUGUAGCGGUGGAAUGCGCAGAUAUCAGGAGGAACACCGAUGGCGAAGGCAGAUCUCUGGGCCGUAACUGACGCUGAGGAGCGAAAGCAUGGGGAGUGAACAGG
This 254-nucleotide ribosomal RNA is filed under the name uncultured bacterium. Its description in RNAcentral is "partial 16S ribosomal RNA". It matches the Rfam family "Bacterial small subunit ribosomal RNA", at positions 524 to 776 of the family's 1533-position model. The record is from RNAcentral.